UGGAUAUGAGCAGCAUUGCUGCAUGUUUUUGAGUAGAGAAAUCACAAUAAAAAUGUUGUAUUGGGACUUAAAUGUUUGGAGAAUAAUGAUUGUUUUGUAUGAUAUCAAAACAGGAGGUUCUGUAUUUGAGUCUCGUCAAACUGUUAAUGUUAUUUAUUUUUCAGACGUGAGACAGAAUGUUGAAUAUAAAAUAUAUAAGCGAUGUUUACUUAUAAUUUAAGUUGAUGGAUAAUAAUAUUUUUAUAUUUUUAUAUUUAAUAAUUUAGAAUCAGACCCCGUUUGGAUAUCUAGUUAAAA
This 297-nucleotide long non-coding RNA is filed under the name Ananas comosus (pineapple). RNAcentral describes it as "long non-coding RNA (ACOM_LNC035334)". The record is from RNAcentral. Lineage: Eukaryota; Viridiplantae; Streptophyta; Magnoliopsida; Poales; Bromeliaceae.